CAGGUGUAUCCUAUUUGCGAUGGGUACUUCAUAUUGAAGAGGUAUAUGAAGCAGUAGGCAACAGUUACAGCAUCAGAAGCAUUGGAAUGCGCACUAACAAUGGUAUUUUCAGCAACUACGUAAUGGGUUGUGCCUUCAUAUUCACUUCUCCCUGGAAAAGAAAUUACAUAGUUAGUCACUAAGCUUAAUGUGACAUUAUUCUUAAAACAAAUUAAGUAAAUAAGCUUUCAUUUAACAGGAUGAAUGCAGAAAGAAAACGGAACUCACCAACAACAACAAUGCAAGGAGCAGGACUUCUGGGAGCGGCCAGCACUUCAUCUCUUGUGGCUCCUUCCUGAAUGGUGUAAACAAAGAGAAAAUUAUUUUUCAAUCUGGCUGGACCAAGGCAACAGUAAAGCAGGAUCUCUGCAGUUCCUUUUCUCUUCCAAUGCUUCUUUCCAGCUUCGUCAAAAGAACAGUACCCACUUUACUCCACGGUAUUUCAAAUGUUUCGCCCCAGUCGGUGCUAGAGUCUGCUGUGGUGCUGGCUGAAGAGGAUUUACGAUGUGAACUUUGAUGUGAGUCACUUGAAAUCUCAGUGGAACUAUGGCUUUCUGACACUCAUCAUCAUCCACUUCGGUGCCAUCUUCCUCUAACACUACUUGGACGGAUUGGGCCUCAGUCAAAAGAAAUUUGUCCUUCACUGAAACAGAAGAUAUUUUUAUUAUAAAUAGUAAUACGAGUAGUUUGUUUUGUAUUUGGUAAUGAUUGACUGCAAGUCAUACCUUUCGCAAGAAGGCUGUUGAUGGUGGAGUCUGCAAGUAUACAUUUCUUUUUCUGUCUCUGGUCACACCAUACCUUGUAAGCGGGCAUCUAUAACAAAGGAAAAAGUCAGUUAAGAUUCAGUUAAAAUAUUUUAUUUAUUCAGUCCAGAAUUGUUGACAAACAACUGUCAUUUUAUAAAUUGGUGCACAUUAAAUGUAAAAAUAAGAAAAGUAAAAAUCUCCUGAAGUAAUGAUAAUAUAGGAGUCAAUGUAAAACAUAUGUAUUAACAUUUCUAAAUCCCACAUACUCAGUAGCUAAAAGUAGUUAAAAUUGGACCAUAAUAGUAUGUUUUAAAUAUGUGAAUGAAUGUUUGCCAACAGUUUUCAGAACCAAUGGAUCUGGACUCGCAAUCUUGUCUGCUGGGAAAAUCAGUAGAUCUUUGUUGGAGGACUCAAGUACUUCGUAAACUCCAAAGUACUGAUGAUAUUUGAUGAUCUUCUCGGUGCCAACAAAAACAAGCAUAUUUCACUCCAUGAUACUCAGCUACUGAACUUGAAAAUGGGGCUUGAGAGAGAGCACCACAGGCAUCUAAGCCAUUAAUAAGCUCUUGUGAAUAUAACUCCUUUUUAAAUGGAUGAACAGCGCCAGCCUGUACCACUGUUGCAAAAAUAUUACCUUCUCUCAAAUAUGCUUGGAGGAACUGGUGACGAGCAGCAAGAGAGAAUGUUGGAUUAAUAAAAUUAUUGGUGCUAUUAGCAGCAGACUUGAAAUAUUGGUGCUUUGAUUCAAAUCGAAUCGUGCUCCAUCUGAACAGGGGUCCAAAUUUCCUUGAGAGGGCACCGAAGUGUAAAGCAUAGUGAUGCUUACACUUAGCAGGGGCACACACAAGCGCCAUAAAUUCUUGCAAUGUUACAAUCAUCUGCCAUGCCCUUUCAGUUGGAUCUUUUACUUUCUCAACCAGAGCAAGGGUUAUAAUAUGGAGAAGGUGCAUAUUGCUGCUAGCAGAACCGACAAUUUUUUUAGUUUUUGGCUUUAUCUGCCGUAUAGCAUACGAGGAACCUCUGUUGACAAUUUUGAUCAUGGCAUUAAUGUACGCCCAAGAGAACCAAUUCUUUUCUACCAAGACCUUUAAGGCCUUAAACAAAUCAAUGGGAAGGAACCCUUCUGCUACGUCAUGGUGGAUACAAGGCGGCAAUCCAUUUAUAAUGUGAAAAUUAGAGAGCCACAUUCCCACGAAUACGUUGUGCCUUUCUUGCAUAGCAAAAUCUACAAUAGUAGUCAACAGAGGAGAAGGUCUGGUUGAAACCACCCAAAGUAUGCGCUUCAAGAUUAUCAGAGCUAAUUCCAACAACACAACCUCUGAGUGUUUGAAGGACACCGUCAAAACAAACAGGAGUGCCCAAAUCAGGAACAGCAGUAGGUUCAUGAGAAACAUCCAUCAUAAAGGUAUCAGCAGACUCAGCUGCAUUAACCGAAGUACCACCAAGCUCUAGGUCACAAACCAAAAAUGUUUGGUUUGAAUGAUUUGAAACUAGCUUUGAAUGCUUUCUUUUAAAAUGUGUUGUUAGAGUAGACCGAGCUCUACAGUAAUGUCCACAAAAACAAUAAGCACUCUGUCCUGAUCUCAUAUGAGUUUCCAUAUGAUUUAAAAAUAAGAUGGGUGAACUAGCUAUAAAAGAGCAGCCACUGGAAGUACACUUAGCAAAAGUAGUAUCUUCAUCUUGUCUAACAACAUAAAAGGGCCGCCUGAUAUGACUUCGCUUAUGAGCAAUGAGGUUCUUGUACCGAGAUAAAACCAUGCCACAGCUUGGAAAGGGACAUGGGAACGUAAUAUUGGGGGUAUGCCUAUGAAUCCAUUGAUGUGAAAAGUACUUGGGAGUACUGGGCAACUCUUCAGAGCAUGUUACACAUGUGAUUGUCAUUGUCAAAACAUAAGUAUAAAUAAUUAAAAAAAUAGAUAACCUUUGCUUGGAGGAGGGGUUACUGGUACUGAGUCAACUCCACACCACAAGUACCUGAAAAACAAAAAUAGAUACUUUAAUCCGAGAUAACCCACUGAGUUGAGAACAUGAAUAUUUUUGUUUAGUAGCAUAACCGAAACUGCCAAUUAUUAACUCUGAAGUUUUCAAAACUAUUAACUUUGAACUCGGUAUAGGUAGUUGCACCUCAUUCCACAACAUAAAGCUUAACCUUCUGAACCAUGUGGUCUGUGAGAGGCACAAAGACAACUGACAAUGAAAGUAUUUACUCAGCCAUAAAUUUGUUUUCACAUGAGGUAGUAGUGGCGAUAGUAAAUUGCAGUGGCUUGAUACUUGAAAUUUAUACCCUCUUAAAAUAGAAAGAUGUUGAUUUGGUAUACUUACGAUCUGUACUUGGCAAGGUCACACCGUCGGCUCGUCUGUCAAAGUGGUCAAACUCAGCUGCUGAGCUCGCCCAGCUGAGCGCGGUGUGCGGAGCGGUUGAGGGAGGGGGGGGG
Molecule: RNA transcript, 3220 nt
Organism: Frankliniella occidentalis (western flower thrips)
Lineage: Eukaryota; Metazoa; Arthropoda; Insecta; Thysanoptera; Thripidae
Exons: 7
Source: RefSeq, a predicted model, not a curated record